This 285-nucleotide long non-coding RNA is filed under the name Hordeum vulgare. RNAcentral describes it as "long non-coding RNA (HVUL_LNC019128)". Lineage: Eukaryota; Viridiplantae; Streptophyta; Magnoliopsida; Poales; Poaceae. The record is from RNAcentral.
CUCCUCUCCCUCCAGAUGAGAGGGAGCAAACGUCUCCUCGGACCUAGUGUCCGAUCGACCCUUUGAUCAAAAACUCUCUCGGGCCUUUUGAUUCUCCUUAUUCUUCUCGUCCUUCUCCUUCGGAGCCGUGUACAACUUCUCGGCCAGCAUGGCUUCCAAUAAAGGCGUCAUGGGGUCCUCGGGCAAGGGCGCCAGAUAGUUGAUCCGCUGAGGCUUUUUCAGCUAGAUCUAUGAGUAUGGAGGAAACGAGAAGUAAGAAGCUUGUUAAAAGGAAAGGAAAAAAAC